AUGCCCCGGCGCAGGAGCAGAGCCGGCGGGCAGCUCCACCCCGACCCCGGGGGCCGGCCCGCAGGCUGCGGCGGGGGUCCGCGCGGCCGCCCCCAGCCCCUCCGCACCCCGGCAGGCAGACGCGGGCCGCCUGCCGAACAGCCCCCGGGGCUGGGCGCUCAAACUUCAGGGACGGGCGGGCCAAGUGGGCCCCCGAACUCCGCGGGAAGCCCUCCGCGCGGGGACCCCCGGGGACCCCCAAAGCCAGCGGCUCCGCCGUCGGCCGCCCCCCGGCUGCAGGGAAGCGGCGUGGCCCCGGCACCCCGAGACCCCCUCAGCGCUCGCGGCGCGCCCCUCAGCGCCUCGGCAGAGCCCCAGCCGCCGGCUCGCCCUCUUCCCAGCGCCUCGCCCGCCGCCGCCGCCGCCUUUAUCUCCACUCACCGCCAGCCGCCAUCUUCCUCGCAGCUCAGCUUUAAAUCGGAAACUCGCCGCUCACCCUGCAGCCGCCACCGCUGCCGCUGCUGCUGCUGCUGCUGCUGCUGCCGCCACCGCCGCCACCGCCUCAGCUGCGGCCGCCGCCGUCGCUGCACAGGAGCUGAGGCGGCAGCCGCUGAAGCCGCGGCGCGGGGGCCGCCGGGAUUUGUAGUCCCGCGGCCACGCCCAGCACUACCGGUCCCAGGGGGCCUUGCGCUCGCGGCCGCGGGGUCCGGCGCCGCGCUCGGGCUUCCGCGGCAGAGGGCGUGGCCUCGUGCGAGCCUCGGGGCGGCGUGGGUCGCGGGCGCGUGCGAGCCGCUGCGGGGUUCGGGGAGUGGAAUGCGGUCCGGGCCCUGCCCUUCAUUUUUUUCAUACUUGGCCUCCGAACGUCUGCGGAGCGCCCAUUGUGUGUCAAGCCCAGACCCUGAAAUCGGGCAUCUUGAGGGAACGGGGCGGCGCGGGGUGUGCGGUCGGCGGCCGGCGGCGGUGGCCCGCACGAGACGUCGGCUAAGCCGACUCCAGCCGGGAGCACGUCAUCGAAGACGGGGUUCUUAA
RNAcentral lists this long non-coding RNA (1008 nucleotides) under Oryctolagus cuniculus (rabbit). RNAcentral describes it as "lncRNA (ENSOCUG00000031831.1)". Lineage: Eukaryota; Metazoa; Chordata; Mammalia; Lagomorpha; Leporidae. The record is from RNAcentral.